Molecule: ribosomal RNA, 499 nt
Filed under: bacterium 4873K4-B29
Lineage: Bacteria
Description: bacterial SSU rRNA
Rfam family: Bacterial small subunit ribosomal RNA
Source: RNAcentral
UUGCUUUCUUUGCUGACGAGCGGCGGACGGGUGAGUAAUGCCUGGGAAUAUGCCUUAGUGUGGGGGAUAACUAUUGGAAACGAUAGCUAAUACCGCAUAACGUCUUCGGACCAAAGAGGGGGACCUUCGGGCCUCUCGCGCUAAGAUUAGCCCAGGUGGGAUUAGCUAGUUGGUGAGGUAAAGGCUCACCAAGGCAACGAUCCCUAGCUGGUCUGAGAGGAUGAUCAGCCACACUGGAACUGAGACACGGUCCAGACUCCUACGGGAGGCAGCAGUGGGGAAUAUUGCACAAUGGGGGAAACCCUGAUGCAGCCAUGCCGCGUGUAUGAAGAAGGCCUUCGGGUUGUAAAGUACUUUCAGUCGUGAGGAAGGCAUUGUAGUUAAUAGCUGCAGUGCUUGACGUUAGCGACAGAAGAAGCACCGGCUAACUCCGUGCCAGCAGCCGCGGUAAUACGGAGGGUGCGAGCGUUAAUCGGAAUUACUGGGCGUAAAGCGCAUG